AUUUUGCCCUAUUAUCAAUUUCACUCCUCUCUUUACUCUCUCCCCUCUCACAAGAACCACCCGUCGCCCCUAUUCCGUCGGCCAGAAAUCGCCACCACGGGCGGACGACCUCCAAUCGACCCCAUUUUUUCACCAUCUCUUUGUCUCUUCCUCUUCUUUCCAUAUCCAAAUCCCAAAUCCCCGAAAUCCUCACCAAACUCCACAAAUCUAGCCAAAUCCGAAACCCUAGCCACCCAAAUUUUCCUCUUUUCUUUCUCGAACUAGUGACAAAUACGACCACCCAACCCCACAAAACCUAUAUGAACGUGUAGAUCUCAAAGAGAUCUACAAUUUCCCUAUAAUCUCACCCCAAAAAAAAUGCACCGCCGCCGACCAGCCACCUCACCGUCCCGCCACUAGUGCCCUACUACUGCCUUAUUCUGUAAGCUGAUUUGAUCCGAAGACUCACGUUUCCUUCUAGCAUGACGCCAGAACUUAUUUGUUUAGGCGUCUACUAAAAGGAAACUUGUGUUUUGGGGUCGGGCAGUCAUUGGUCAACAUCCUCGGCAUCUUCUUAUUGUGCGAUUUGGCCUCGAAUGUCCCUGAGUUUUGGUAACACCUCUUUCCUUUUUCUGAUUUCGUCCUUGUAAUUAUUAUUAGGUUUAGAGUUUAAUUUGCAUUCACUUUUAAGUUAUUCGUAUAAAUUUGGGCAGUGAUUCUGUUGAGUUACUAUUGUUUUCAUAUUUUGUAUGUCACUUCCAAUAAACCUUUUAGUUGCUCGUAGUGAUUAGUUUAGAUGUAUCAUAUGACACUGAGAUCAAUUAUUUUGCUUCUUGACUGAUUAGUCAUUUAGUUUGGUUACAUUGAUCUGAUUCAUAUGUGAUAUUUUUGAGUUCUUUGUGUUAGUUUAUUUUUAUCAAUUUAGUUUUGUUGAUUAAUUGUUGGUCAGUUCAGAAUCAAUCAUGUUUAGUUAUCAUGUUUCGUUAUGCUUCCGAACUUUAACUGAAGUUUCAAAGUCUUUGGACUCUAACUGGAACCUGAAUCCUUCCUUUAGGUUUCUGAUUUUUGUUGCCUACUACUUUAUUGUAGUUAUUGUAGUAGUGUAAGUUCUGUUAGUGGUCAAUUUUAGUUCGUUUUCUGCCUAGUUUUCAAUUUCGUCUUCACUUAGUCAAAACUGUUUCACUAAGUUGUUUUCUCUGUUAACAUGUGUCUUGCUUGGUUUUGUUUUAGUAAUUAGGUUUUAAGUUCUCUUGAUUGAUUAAUGGUUCAGUGUUAAGUUUUAGUUAUAUGUUUGUGGUAUAUUAACUAAGUUCUAGUUACUUGUCUUUAGUUUUGGUUUGAAGCAAACAACGUCUGGUAUUGAUUGUUGAAAAGCUGAAGAGUAAAUAUGUUUGAUCAUGAGAGUAGGGUACUUGUUUUGCUGCUUUUUAUUGUUUAAAGACUGUUGGGAGUAUACAGCUCCUAAUACUAUUCACAGUUGGUAAAAAAAUGAUCGUUUGGACAGAUUUUUGAACCAAAAGUCUGUCCUUUGAAUAGUUAGAGCAGAUUUUUGGUGAGAAAUAUGUCCUAUGGACAGAUUUUCAAUCAUGAAUGCAUUGCCUCUUCUCUUAUAAAAGACUGAACAUUCUUAUUUACAUAGGAAGACAUCUUGAGAAUUGAAAAACACAUCUGGCUAGACAUCUUUUACACACAAAAAGAACACAGCUUUAAGAGUAAAAGUAGGAUCUGAACACUGAAUAGUAAGCUGAAAGUGUUGAUCUUUUUGUGAGUGAUUUCUCUGUUUGCAAGACCUUUCAAAAGCCUAAGAGUGUUGAAGUUGAUUGUUGGGAUCCUUCUUCUUUAAAAGUUACUAAGUUAAGGGUUUUUCCUGGAUUGUUUUGGAUCAAAAGUUGCUGAUUUGCUGCUGUUUAUUGCUGUUUUCUAUGGUCAUUUGCUGCCGAGUUUCAUUUUCUCUGUUGCUGCAUUCUGAAAUUCUGCAAACUAGGUAUUUCUCUUAAGCUUUGCAAUGUAACCUGUGAUAAAAAGCAUGAGGAUAUGGUUGUUUGUCUUGUUAAGUUCUAAUAUUAAACAAAUGCUGUCAUUUUAAAGUUCUAAGGGCAUUGCUUUAUCUCUUUUGGGUUGUAAAUAUGCUGAGCAUGAAAAGUUUUGAUAAAGAUUUACUACUUCACUCUUAUUAUUAAUGUACUGCUACAUAGAGUUAUUGCUAUUUCUUUAAAUUCAUUGGAUGUUUGAAGCUAAAAAGAGAAAAACAAAUAUUUAGUCAAAUGAAGUAAUUUGAAGUUUGGAGAGUUGGCAUGAUGAAUGUGUUAGUUUCGCCUUAUUUGACUGAAAUUGGUCAUUAGAGAUGUGUAAGUUUAAUUAUUUUUUAGUUCUUGUUUAAGUUAGCAUUAGAUGAUGUGGUAAUACUUAAUAGAGGUAGACUUUUGUAAGCAAUAAAAAAGAAGUUGGAUUUGAAUAGAUAAGCUACAUAAAUUUAUUCAUAACUAGUCUUGUUGCCAGUAUUAGUAAAUUGGAACUACAGAUUAUUUGGCCAAAUAAAAUCAAGUUCACCAGGCCCAUGAAAAUAAUAGUUCAACUGGCCUGUUCUUUGUAAACAUUCUCUACUAGGCCCAUUUCGUGUUAAGCAUGCUAGCUGGCCCUUUCUUCUUUUUUUUUUUUUUAUAAAAAAUAAUUAUGUGGGCCCAGUAAAAUCCGAAUUUCUGGUAAAAAAUUGCACGGGGCGCUUAUUUGGUCGCCCCCAUUUAACCUAUACCCAUUUUUUUAAAAUUUUUUAACUUGUACCCACUUUUUAAAUAACUUCAACCCCAUUUCUCCUCUUCCUUCCCCUCCUUUGUUUUCUUCUUCUUUCUUCUGCUGCUGUUGGUGCAGAUUAUUUCUUCUUCGUUUUGUCUCAAUUAAUAUUCUUUUACGUAAGCAUAGUUAUGGAUUUAACUUAAUUGUUUGUUCAGAUUUUUCAUGAAGUGGAAGGAGUCAUCUAUUGAGCUCAAAAAAGGAAAGAUAUACGUACACAAACACAACUAUGACAAGUAUGCCAAGUAAUUUGUAGCAACUUUUUGCCUAAACAAAGAACCACCAUAAUUAAGGAUAAAUGACAGAUUAACUACUCUCAUCUUGGCUACAAAAAGUACAAAGAGUUAUCCAUAUGAAAUCACCAGUGAUUAUAGCUGUCUUUGCUAAGUACAGGAAAAGCAGUCAAGUGAUUAAAAAAUUCCGACUCCAGAAGAGGAGAGCC
Molecule: long non-coding RNA, 3211 nt
Filed under: Nicotiana tabacum (common tobacco)
Lineage: Eukaryota; Viridiplantae; Streptophyta; Magnoliopsida; Solanales; Solanaceae
Description: long non-coding RNA (NTAB_LNC009107)
Source: RNAcentral